RNAcentral lists this long non-coding RNA (300 nucleotides) under Elaeis guineensis (African oil palm). RNAcentral describes it as "long non-coding RNA (EGUI_LNC025298)". The record is from RNAcentral. Lineage: Eukaryota; Viridiplantae; Streptophyta; Magnoliopsida; Arecales; Arecaceae.
UCUCUCUCUAGAAUUUUCUCUCUCUUCAUGGAUUUUCUCUCUCUAAAAGUCUUAUGGAUCAGUGGAGGAUCCAGAUACUUAGAUAAAUCUUAAUUUUGAUUAAUCCUAAGAGAGAUCCUCGAUUUGUGUUAUUAGGAUCGAUUAUCGGUAAUUUCUCUAUAUAUGAUUUUUAUAUUGAUCAGGGUCAUGAAGAGAUGAUUGUCUGCAUAUGAUAUCGAGUGGAAUAUUUUGUUAAAAAAAUUCAUAAAUCAAAGAAGAACAUUGAUUUCUGUGCUUGGAUCAGUCACCGGUAAAGGUAAG